This 500-nucleotide ribosomal RNA is filed under the name uncultured bacterium. Its description in RNAcentral is "partial 16S ribosomal RNA". It matches the Rfam family "Bacterial small subunit ribosomal RNA", at positions 30 to 523 of the family's 1533-position model. The record is from RNAcentral.
AUUGAACGCUGGCGGCAGGCCUAACACAUGCAAGUCGAGCGGCAGCGGGACCUUCGGGUUGCCGGCGAGCGGCGGACGGGUGAGUAAUGCCUAGGAAUCUGCCUGUUAGUGGGGGAUAACGCGGGGAAACUCGCGCUAAUACCGCAUACGUCCUACGGGAGAAAGCGGGGGCUCUUCGGACCUCGCGCUAACAGAUGAGCCUAGGUCGGAUUAGCUGGUUGGUGGGGUAAUGGCCCACCAAGGCGACGAUCCGUAACUGGUCUGAGAGGAUGAUCAGUCACACUGGAACUGAGACACGGUCCAGACUCCUACGGGAGGCAGCAGUGGGGAAUAUUGGACAAUGGGCGAAAGCCUGAUCCAGCCAUGCCGCGUGUGUGAAGAAGGUCUUCGGAUUGUAAAGCACUUUAAGUCGGGAGGAAGGGCUGUAGGCUAAUACCUUGCAGUUUUGACGUUACCGACAGAAUAAGCACCGGCUAACUUCGUGCCAGCAGCCGCGGUAA